Scleropages formosus (Asian bonytongue) is the source of this 1056-nucleotide long non-coding RNA. RefSeq lists it as uncharacterized. The transcript has 4 exons. The record is from RefSeq and is a predicted model, not a curated record. NCBI's taxonomy places the organism in Eukaryota, Metazoa, Chordata, Actinopteri, Osteoglossiformes, Osteoglossidae.
GGCUGCAAAUACAGAUUAACAUUAGCAGAGAGGUUUGACUGCACAGAGACCAUAAUAAAUCAAUUGCUUGCAGACUCAUAAAACCCUAUCAGUGAGUGGCAAGUGACAAUUAAGCUGUAUCUGGUGGCAGGCUUUAAGUCAGAAUCCAACACUUAUUUUAGUCCGUGCGUGGCCCACCCGUUAUUUUAUUUACCACUUCCGUUCGCGCCUCUUUCCCGCACUGCGCACUUGUCUCAGUCACAGUUUUGGUAAGCCCACAAGCUAAACCUAGCCAAAAUGAGUAAAAAACAAACGUCGCUGGAGAGCUUCUUUGAAAAGGGGGAAAGACCCAAUGAUGAGACAGCAGAAGACCAAGACUGCCAACAAAAAGAAAGCUGCAUUUAAAAGAAAAUACUAAGAGUCCUACUUAAAUUAUGGGUUCAUUGCAACAGGUUAUUCACAUUCUUCUGGGACCAUCUAGUUGCAGGAAAACAAGCUCAGGGCUCCCACUGAUUCUGCAUUAUGGGUCUACAUUUGAUUUGACAGUGAAGCGAUUUUCAGCUGAACUGCUUUCAAAAUCAACCUGCACAACAAGACGUAUUUAGCUAACUGUGAGUCAGUGGAAGGUGGAACCAUGGCAUGAAGUGAGGCUGAACCUGAUGGACAGGUCCCCAGAGGCCACCCCACAACAAUUCUUCGGAGUAAUGGAGUGCCAUCUACUAGAUCAGACAAACAAUUACAGCAUGGUCAUAACACAGAUGGUGUUGAGAUUGUCGGGAGACCACUGAGAGGGGAACGUCAAAGGGAAGUACCGAAGAGUAAACUCUGCCUUCAUUUGUUUUCUCUGAUUCUUUUGUGUUUUGUGAUUUCUUCCUCCCCAGAUUCUGACUGUUCUUUACCAAUUUGCAGUAGAUUAUGAGCAAUAAGACAGCCUGCUCAGCAGACUUAGCAUAUCCAAGCAGACAUUAAAAACUAAAGAACUUCUUGAGGAAGAAAUCAGAUUGCCCUAUUAAUAAGAAAAGAAUAAUAGGACUUUAGAGAUCAUGGAUAUCGUGUAUCUGAAAUGUCUGUGCUACU